Salmo salar (Atlantic salmon) is the source of this 854-nucleotide non-coding RNA. The record is from RefSeq and is a predicted model, not a curated record. NCBI's taxonomy places the organism in Eukaryota, Metazoa, Chordata, Actinopteri, Salmoniformes, Salmonidae.
UCACAAUUCAUUAAAUAUUAGCUAAGUGUAGCUAACCACACAUUGCAGAAAGCAGCUUUGAGAUUCCCUUUGGUUAGCUAGCAAGUGGUUGCUAGGUGGAGCUGGAUGAAGAUUGCUGGCUACUUAGUUAGCUAGCCAGCGGCAAUGCAUAAAAUCGGUGUCUUGUGCAAAGCUUACUAAACGCUUUAAAUUCACGCUUGCAUAAGUAGUUCAUUUAGCUGGCUAGCUAAAUAAGUCUAGUGAACGUCUUGACCCCCCCACAUGAAGUCAUAAGCCUCUGGCUACCAGUAAAAGGCGUAGGCUGGUGGUAGCAGUUGUUCACAUCACUGUCCAGUUUAUUACUUGACCGCUUGUUUACAGGCAUUUACGGCACGGUCUGUUCCAUCCUAGUUGCAUCCAACUACGAAAUCGGCCGGUCAUGGAAGUCAAUGGGUGCGAUGAUCAUCGUAGUUAGGAAAUACUUGCAGAGAGAGGUGAAGGCGCAUAUGGCAAAGUGUACAGGGCCAGAGAGGUCUGCGAUCAACAGCGACUUGUAGCAGUGAAGAAGGUGAACAGACACGGAGAGUGGCCUUCCUGCUUUCAUGAUCCGGGAGGUGGCGCUCUUGCGUAAGAUCGGGUAUUUCAACCAUCCCAACAUUGUAAAAACAGGAGUUUGGACCUGACGCUGGUGUUUGAGUACAGAGACCAGGACCUGUCUACCUUCCUCACCAUGGUCCCCAGCACUGGACUGAGUCUUGACAAAAUUAAGUAUGUGGUGAUGCAGCUGCUGCAUGGGCUGGACUUCCUGCACACCAACAUGCUGGUGCACCGCGAUCUGAAGCCGGAGAAUGUACUGGUUAGGAGCCGUGGAGAAG